GGUCUCCGGGACUGCCCCCGGCUCCUGCGUUCUGCGUCGGUCUCCGGGACUGCCCCCGGCUCCUGCGUUCUGCGUCGGUCUCCGGGACUGCCACUGGCUCCUGAGCAUUUCUUGUCUUGGAUUGGUCAUUCCUUCCCUCACCCACCAAAGGUCCUGACCUGAAGUGGUGUAAAGUCGUUUUCAUUGCUGUUUUGUUUUCAUUUCCUCAGGAAGAAUGAGAGUCUGUUCGGGCGAGGCUGACAGCAGUGCACAGGGCAGUGCGGGCAGCAGGGUGGGCGGCUGCAGGCUGCCGACAGCCUUUCCUUAUGGGAAUGUUCUGGGGCCCUGGACAUUGUGAGCACAGGGCUCAAGCCCAUGGUGCCUGUGGGGAAGUCUCAGGGGCUCUGCACAGUGAGGGUGAGAGCAGGGUUGCCACCUGACACAGCAGUCUGCGGCUUUCAUGUGAGGAUGGGCUGUUUGUCCCUUCCCUGCUCUUACUGGGGCCACGUGCUCGAGCUUUAAGAAGGGUCAGAAUAGGCCGGGCGCGGUGGCUCUCCCCUGUAAUCCCAGCACUUUGGGAGGCCAAGGCGCGCAGAACACAAAGUCAAGAGCUCGAGACCAUCCUGGCCAACACGGUGAAACCUCGUCUCUACUAAAAGCACAAAGAUUAGCCGGGCGUGGCGCAUGCCUGCAGUCCCAGCUACUCGGGAGGGUGAGGCAGGAGAGUGACGUGAACCCAAGAGGCAGAGGUUGCAGUGAGCCGAGAUGGUGUCAUUGCACUCCAGCCCAGCUGUAGAGUGAGACACCGUCUCAAAAAAAAAAAAAAAAAGAGGGUCAGAGUAGAUGCCUCCAGCUGUGCCCCAUCAGGGAGAGAGACAGAAGGAAAUGGCAUCUUGACCACAGGGCACUGGAGCCCUCUGGGCAUGUCUCGUCCCGGAUCCUCGUCUGCAGUGAGUGUGGCAGAGAGAAACCCAAGGCCUUGUUUCUUCACGGGCAGUGCCAGGGCCACGGCCCCAUCGGACUCUGGGCUCAGUGAGGGUCUCAGCAGGACCGGGUUGUCUCCUGCAGGUUCCCAGGCCCUGGGCUCACGGAGACGUUUUGUUCUUAGAAUCAAGGCUUUCAGGUAGGUUUCUGGAAAGGAGAUUCACUUUCAAUGCAGGUAGCCCAGGCACAGAGCUCUCACAUUGUGCGGCGGUGCAGAAGGGACGAGGCUUCCACGCCCGCCAGCCUGUGCCCACCCCAGUUGUUAGAGGCAGCUGAUUCCGCUCCUUUCUUUUGGUGUCCCUGCUAUUCCUCCUUUCUUUAUAUUUUCUCCACACGUUUUUUGGUGAUUUUUUAAAAUUUAGUUUUUUGGCUAUCAAUACUUUCACAGGAUUAAAAACAAACAGAAGCUGAGAAGGCAUGUGCUGUAAAGUUUCACUCCCUCCCCUCCCCCUCGCUGUUCCUGCCAACUCCCAGUACCACUUUUAUUGCAGAUGAAACAAACACAAGCGCCCUUGUUCUCACUCCUGUUUGGGGCCCCGUGUUGGCGUGGUCCAUACGUGUUCUUCCCUAUCGAACAUGUUUGCGAUUGUUGCCCUGUUGACACAGAGAGAACACCCACAUCUCCUCCAGCGGCCUGUGCCCUCCCUCCAGCAGGCUCCAAGCUUGUGACGUGUCUGUCCUUGCUGGCAGACAUUCGGGUGCCGCCCGUGGGGAGGGGUGGCCAGUGCAGCUCCGGGGGACGCCCAGCAGGUGGUUACUGGUCAGGGGGUGGUGUGUUCAAUGUGGUUACCUACUCUAGCUACCCUGCCUCAGCCACAGAGCCAGCUGGGCCAUCUGGGUGUUACCCUGUUGUUACACAGUGACAUCCUAAAGAUGGUGUCACUGCUGCAUACCUUGCACCAGCACCCAGGCGAGGCCAGCUCCAUCUGGGAGCAUCUGCAGGUGUCUCUGUCCUCCCUGCUGCCCCCAGUUCCCCUGCAGCCCUGGCCUUGUUCUGGCAGCCCCUUUGGUUAUGACUUUCCUGAGUGUUGGGAUUCCACACAAAAUAAACCUCAGCCAUCCGAGGUCUGUCGCUCUGCUUCCUGAGAGCACAUCUGGGUUUGGGGAUGGUUUUACCUAGAGGAUAAGAAUCCCAACGUUUGCACUUUAUGUGUCAUGUCUUCCAUUCCUAACACAUCUGGGAUGAUGACAUUCAUGGGACUCUGUGCCGGGAGAGACCAGAGUGAGGCGGGGAGGCCCUGCCCUCGCGGAGCCCGUCAUUGAGAGUGUGGUGUCCCAGGGCUGGCUCCCACCUGGGCAUCUGACCUCACGGCCAACCUCUCCUUGACACCUGGACUCAUCGUGCCUUCAACUUAUGUAGUGUCUGAGAGCUUCCAGCCUGAGUUUCGUAGCUGUGACUUCAUCCAGCUGCUGCUUCUCAUGGUUGCACUGGCAUCUGCAGCUCUGAAUAUGAGAGGGAUGGGGUUUUGGAGCUGUGCAGAGCCAGGCUCAGGAGCCACUUCUUGUUAGAGAGUUGCUGUUGGACCGAGGACAUGCCCAGUGUUUUCUUUGCUUCCUCCUGGAUAACACGAGGACUGCGGUUGACACGUGCUCACUGCGAUGGCCUGGCACCUGUCACCUGCCACCCAGGGACAGGCCUGCGAAGACUGACUUCUGUCCUGAACGGGCGCACUGGGCAGGGUUUGGCAGCGCAGGGCAGGGGACCUGCUAGGGGCAGAGUCUGAUGAGAUGAAAUUGAGUUCUGAGGAGGCCACACAGCUCCCGAGGGGGGGCUCACAUGUAGGGUGAAGGAAGGUACAGGGCUUGGGUUCGGUACUUGCAAUGACUCAGGGUGAAGGUGCCGCUGAGAGCUGUGCAGAUGCCUGUUACUGAAAGGCCAGGUGCAAGUCACAGACAGGGACGUGCUUUGGCCUGGGUUGAUGAUGAAGUUCUGGAGACUGCUGUGCUCCCAAGGGCCUGUAGCGAGAGGCCUCGGAUGCCGCUUCAAGUGACUCGAAGCUCAGAAAUGCAUGAUGGAAGCCAGAAGGGGCGCCGCCACGAGCUGGUGUGCAUUUGGCAGUGUUUCAAUUUUAGAAGUAUAAUUUAUAUAUAAAAAAUUCACAGGCCGGGCCCGGUGGCUCAAGCCUGUAAUCCCAGCACUUUGGGAGGCUGAGAUGGGUGGAUCACGAGGUCAGGAGAUCAAGACCAUCCUGGCUAACACGGUGAAACCCUGUCUCUACUAAAAAAUACAAAAAACUAGCUGGGUGAGGUGCCGGGCGCCUGUACUCCCAGCUACUCGGGAGGCUGAGGCAGGAGAAUGGUGUAAACUCGGGAGGCGGAGCUUGCAGUGAGCUGAGAUCCGGCCACUGCACUCCAGCCUGGGCGACAGAGCAAGACUCUCUCAAAAAAAAAAAAAAA
Macaca fascicularis (crab-eating macaque) is the source of this 3360-nucleotide long non-coding RNA. NCBI's taxonomy places the organism in Eukaryota, Metazoa, Chordata, Mammalia, Primates, Cercopithecidae. The record is from Ensembl.